UACGUAUGGUGCAAGCGUUAUCCGGAUUUACUGGGUGUAAAGGGAGCGUAGGCGGCGCGUUAAGUCUGAUGUGAAAACCCGAGGCUCAACCACGGGAGUGCAUUGGAAACUGGCGUGCUGGAGUGCCGGAGAGGUAAGCGGAAUUCCUAGUAUAGCGGUGAAAUGCGUAGAUAUUAGGAGGAACACCAGUGGCGAAGGCGGCUUACUGGACGGCAACUGACGCUGAGGCUCGAAAGCGUGGGGAGCAAACAGG
RNAcentral lists this ribosomal RNA (253 nucleotides) under uncultured bacterium. RNAcentral describes it as "partial 16S ribosomal RNA". It matches the Rfam family "Bacterial small subunit ribosomal RNA", at positions 524 to 776 of the family's 1533-position model. The record is from RNAcentral.